Anguilla anguilla (European eel) is the source of this 1312-nucleotide long non-coding RNA. RefSeq lists it as uncharacterized. NCBI's taxonomy places the organism in Eukaryota, Metazoa, Chordata, Actinopteri, Anguilliformes, Anguillidae. The transcript has 3 exons. The record is from RefSeq and is a predicted model, not a curated record.
AAAGACAAGGGAGACGGAAGGAAACAGGAACAGAAUGGCGGAGACCGUAGUCUUAAAACUGCGUUGUUAAAGCCGGAAAAAUGAUGAAUAUUAUGACAGAACUGGUGUGUACAUGAUAUGGCUUGCCUGAAUUAUUUUGGAAUAUUUGUUGGAGGUUGCGAAAACCUAGCCAGAGCAGCAGGGCUAAAUUGCAUCAAGAAUCCAGGAGUGCUGCCUCAGCAAAAAUGUGACUGUCAAGCACCAUCUGCAGAUAUCUGUUUUUAGACCUAGCAUUAAAUGAAAUCUCACUUCCACUUCUUAUUCAAGUAAGAUGAGAAAAUGGAAUUCCUUUACUUAAAGAUCCUUGGUGUUGGUUCUCAAAUGAUGGCCAAUUAUUGUCAUUUAAGUCAUUCUUCAAUAAAAUUUUUUUAGUCUUGAAUUGGCACAUUAUUUUUUUAUAUUUGUUUUAUAACAUUUAGCCCAAUAGGUGUCCAUUGCUCUGAAAUAAGACUGACCUAUCCUCUUAAUAGGAAUGGUAAACCUGGAGUUCAGGAAGAAAAGUCACCCAUCCACGUAUAGCAAAUUAUAAACUCGAUGCAAAUUGCAUUUCUAAUUCCAGAAAUAAUUAACAGUUUUAACAACCAAACCGCGGCAGGAGAUAAAAUGUAAUUAUCACGUACAUCGGUUUGGUUUAUUUUCAGCUUCCCAUUGAUGUCUAGUGUGACUGCGUCUUUCGUUCACGCGUUAUUUUCCCAGCUAUUUGUAAACGUUUUCAAAACACUGAUCUUCCUCAUUUAAUCCAGUAAAAUCUAUACAUCACAGUCAAAGGGAACAACUGUCACAUUACACUGAAAACCACAAAUUGCAGUAAAUUAUUACAGCAGUUUGUGGACUGACAUAAUCGCCUCCACCUGUAAGACAUUAAAGCCACGGUUUGCUGGAUGAUUUGUUUCAGGCUCCUGACAGGUUUUGGCUUGGUGCUGGAUGUGGGAGAAAACAUAUUUAUGUAAACAUGAUGCUGAAUUGGCUGUAAGUGAGGUAGAAAGGACCUGAGGAAAUUCUCGUGUUGGUAUUUCCCAUGGCUGGCCUGCUGUCUGCAGAAGUCCCAAGCUGCACCCGCCUCUAUCAGCUUUUGCACCCCCCCUGGAGAGCGGAUCAAAGUGAACUCGCUGCUACGCUUCGUGUAGCUUUUAAGUGAUUAAAUGGGCCGACGUCUGCUUCAUUGAACUGACUUUUUGCUCAUUUCUGCUAAUUUCUCCUCCCUAUCCUUGUAAACAAAGUUGGCUCUGGCUUCAUAAAACAAGUGUUGCAUUAAAGUGUGAAAAAUGCAUAA